GACGAACGCUGGCGGCGUGCUUAAUACAUGCAAGUCGAGCGAGGUUACUGUUUUGGAUCCCUUCGUGGUGAAGAAGCUUUAACCUAGCGGCGGACGGGUGAGUAACGCGUGGGUAACCUACCCCAAAGUCCGGGAUAACAGCGGGAAACCGCUGCUAAUACCGGAUGCCUUUACCUUGGGGCAUCUUGAGGUAAAGAAAGGUAACGCUUUGGGAUGGGCCCGCGUCCCAUUAGCUAGUUGGUGAGGUAACGGCUCACCAAGGCGACGAUGGGUAGCCGGCCUGAGAGGGUGGACGGCCACACUGGGACUGAGACACGGCCCAGACUCCUACGGGAGGCAGCAGUAGGGAAUAUUGCGCAAUGGACGGAAGUCUGACGCAGCGACGCCGCGUGAGCGAUGAAGGUCUUCGGAUCGUAAAGCUCUGUCCUUGGGGAAGAAGGUCUUCGGACUUGACGGUACCCAAGAAGAAAGCCCCGGCUAACUACGUG
Molecule: ribosomal RNA, 488 nt
Filed under: uncultured bacterium
Lineage: Bacteria
Description: bacterial SSU rRNA
Rfam family: Bacterial small subunit ribosomal RNA
Source: RNAcentral